UACGUAGGUGGCAAGCGUUGUCCGGAUUUAUUGGGCGUAAAGCGAGAGCAGGCGGUUCCUUAAGUCUGAUGUGAAAGCCCACGGCUCAACCGUGGAGGGUCAUUGGAAACUGGGGAACUUGAGUGCAGAAGAGGAGAGUGGAAUUCCAUGUGUAGCGGUGGAAUGCGUAGAUAUAUGGAGGAACACCAGUGGCGAAGGCGACUCUCUGGUCUGUAACUGACGCUGAGUCUCGAAAGCGUGGGGAGCAAACAGG
This 253-nucleotide ribosomal RNA is filed under the name uncultured bacterium. RNAcentral's name for it is "partial 16S ribosomal RNA". It matches the Rfam family "Bacterial small subunit ribosomal RNA", at positions 524 to 776 of the family's 1533-position model. The record is from RNAcentral.